UUUCUCCUCAGAACCAGUAGCAUCCGUGAAAGUGAAUUUCUCAAAAACCUUCCUGAAUUCCUCAUCGAACUCACCAUCUAAUUCGGCCUUCUCUGGUACAUAUUCUACUUCAACUUGAACCAAAGACUUCUGAGGAUCGGAAUUUUCCUUGGAACUAUCCUCAGCGCCGCCGUUCGCGUCUUGCGCAGCGUUAUCACUGUCUUCUCCAUUUGCAACCUUAGACGCCGCCUUGUUCUUCUUCUGCUUCCUCCGCCUACGGCGUCGGUCGCUUUCCUUCGACUUCUUAGAGGCGGCGUUAGGGUUUUGAGGUCUCAAAUCGCCUUUUGGAUUACCAAUGGCUUCUGUCACUACGUUUGCUACUUCAACCGGCAUACUACUCCGGCCGUUUGAGAUUAAUGUAGAUAUUCAGUUGAG
RNAcentral lists this unclassified non-coding RNA (414 nucleotides) under Hevea brasiliensis (rubber tree). Lineage: Eukaryota; Viridiplantae; Streptophyta; Magnoliopsida; Malpighiales; Euphorbiaceae. The record is from RNAcentral.